This 497-nucleotide ribosomal RNA is filed under the name uncultured bacterium. Its description in RNAcentral is "partial 16S ribosomal RNA". It matches the Rfam family "Bacterial small subunit ribosomal RNA", at positions 28 to 507 of the family's 1533-position model. The record is from RNAcentral.
GAUGAACGCUGGCGGCGUGCCUAAUACAUGCAAGUCGAGCGAACAGACGAGGAGCUUGCUCCUCUGACGUUAGCGGCGGACGGGUGAGUAACACGUGGAUAACCUACCUAUAAGACUGGGAUAACUUCGGGAAACCGGAGCUAAUACCGGAUAACAUGUUGAACCGCAUGGUUCAACAGUGAAAGGCGGUCUUGCUGUCACUUAUAGAUGGAUCCGCGCCGCAUUAGCUAGUUGGUAAGGUAACGGCUUACCGAGGCAACGAUGCGUAGCCGACCUGAGAGGGUGAUCGGCCACACUGGAACUGAGACACGGUCCAGACUCCUACGGGAGGCAGCAGUAGGGAAUCUUCCGCAAUGGGCGAAAGCCUGACGGAGCAACGCCGCGUGAGUGAAGAAGGUCUUCGGAUCGUAAAACUCUGUUAUUAGGGAAGAACAAAUGUGUAAGUAACUAUGCACGUCUUGACGGUACCUAAUCAGAAAGCCACGGCUAACUACGUG